Long non-coding RNA from Musca domestica (house fly), 809 nucleotides. RefSeq lists it as uncharacterized. NCBI's taxonomy places the organism in Eukaryota, Metazoa, Arthropoda, Insecta, Diptera, Muscidae. The transcript has 5 exons. The record is from RefSeq and is a predicted model, not a curated record.
AAAUUUCAUACGCCCGACGAAUUUGGGUAACUCCCAUAUAAGUACAUGUUUUUUACUUGUGUGGUGAAAAAUGUCGACUGAGUACGUCGAAUUUUAGGAAUUAAAUUUUUCUAAAGUUUUUGAACUUUGGUUGAUUUGAAUUGAGUUAGGGCCCAUGCGAUUUCGUGUAGUACGGCCGUACAAAAUACUUCGUUAUGGGGAGAAGCUGGAUAUUUGUGUAUACAACACAACUACUUUGAUUUGUAUGAAUUACGAUACAGUUUGUGUAAAUAUUGGCCGAAGCCUGUGUUACCACAAGUCCAUAUGAACAUACAGAUAACCUGAAGAUCUGCUCUAAGGUUUUAUCAUCCUCCCCGCAAGUUCUGAGAGUAGUAAAGUCCAUUUUAUCUUCCAUAAAAAAGUUUUUUAAGAUAUUUCCUCCAAAAGACCUGAAUUAGACACAUUUUUAUAACCUCCUCCAUGGAAAGGAGGGUAUACUAAAUUUGCCAUACCGUUUGUAAUACCUCUAUACAAUCAUGAUCGAAGUUGAUUUAAUGAUGUCCACCCGUCUGUCUAUUGAAAUCAUGAUUUUGAGAUUUGAUGAAGAGUUUCGAAAAUUGGCACAACAUUUUAUUGUGUCUAGGAUGUUUGGUAUUGAAAUCCAUAAUCUCCAUAAUCAAUAAAGCUGUGAAGCUGGAAUCCUUUAUUAGUCCUGCCCAUACCUAUAAAGGCCAAAAUUUGUUUAAAUUUCUAUUUUUAGCGUUAAGCAUUUGGAAUCUAAUAAUAUGGAAAUAUUUUAUAUCAAAUCAAUAAAGAACCAUUUGUUAUUA